CCUACGGGUGGCAGCAGUGAGGAAUAUUGGUCAAUGGUCGGGAGACUGAACCAGCCAAGCCGCGUGAGGGAGGAAGGUACAGAGUAUCGUAAACCUCUUUUGUCAGGGAACAAAGACUGGGACGCGUCCCCGGAUGAGUGUACCUGAAGAAAAAGCAUCGGCUAACUCCGUGCCAGCAGCCGCGGUAAUCCGGAGGAUGCGAGCGUUAUCCGGAUUGAUGGGGUUAAAAGGGUGCGCAGGCGGGCUGUUAAGUCAGCGGUCAAAGCCCGGGGCUCACCCCCGGCCCGCCGUUGAAACUGGCAGUCUCGAGUUGGGGAGAGGUAUGCGGAAUGCGCGGUGUAGCGGUGAAAUGCAUAGAUAUCACGCAGAACUCCGAUUGCGAAGGCAGCAUGCCGGCUCCACACUGACGCUGAGGCACGAAAGCGUGGGUAUCGAACAGGAUUAGAUACCCUGGUAGUC
Molecule: ribosomal RNA, 459 nt
Filed under: uncultured bacterium
Lineage: Bacteria
Description: partial 16S ribosomal RNA
Rfam family: Bacterial small subunit ribosomal RNA
Source: RNAcentral